This 449-nucleotide ribosomal RNA is filed under the name uncultured bacterium. RNAcentral's name for it is "partial 16S ribosomal RNA". It matches the Rfam family "Bacterial small subunit ribosomal RNA", at positions 29 to 523 of the family's 1533-position model. The record is from RNAcentral.
AACGAACGCUGGCGGCAGGCCUAACACAUGCAAGUCGAACGGGAUCUUCGGAUCUAGUGGCGGACGGGUGAGUAACACGUGGGAACGUGCCCUUUGGUUCGGAACAACUCAGGGAAACUUGAGCUAAUACCGGAUGUGCCCUUCGGGGGAAAGAUUUAUCGCCAUUGGAGCGGCCCGCGUCUGAUUAGCUAGUUGGUGAGGUAAAGGCUCACCAAGGCUAUGAUCAGUAGCUGGUCUGAGAGGAUGAUCAGCCACACUGGGACUGAGACACGGCCCAGACUCCUACGGGAGGCAGCAGUGGGGAAUCUUGCGCAAUGGGCGAAAGCCUGACGCAGCCAUGCCGCGUGAAUGAUGAAGGUCUUAGGAUUGUAAAAUUCUUUCACCGGGGACGAUAAUGACGGUACCCGGAGAAGAAGCUCCGGCUAACUCCGUGCCAGCAGCCGCCGCUG